RNAcentral lists this ribosomal RNA (685 nucleotides) under Chara braunii. RNAcentral's name for it is "SSU rRNA". It matches the Rfam family "Eukaryotic small subunit ribosomal RNA", at positions 591 to 1279 of the family's 1831-position model. The record is from RNAcentral. Lineage: Eukaryota; Viridiplantae; Streptophyta; Charophyceae; Charales; Characeae.
CCAAUAGCGUAUAUUUAAGUUGUUGCAGUUAAAAAGCUCGUAGUUGGAUUUUGGGUGGGAGGGGUUGGUCCGCUCUUGCGGGCGUGUACCGGCCCUUUCGCCUUUCUUGCCGGGUAUGCGUUCCUUGCCUUUAUUGGCUGGGAUCCAGAGCCGGCGCUGUUACUUUGAAAAAAUUAGAGUGUUCAAAGCAGGCCUGUGCUCUGAACAUAUUAGCAUGGAAUAACGCGAUAGGACUCUGGUCCUAUUUCGUUGGUCUUCGGGAUUGGAGUAAUGAUUAAUAGAGACGGUUGGGGGCAUUCGUAUUCCAUUGUCAGAGGUGAAAUUCUUGGAUUUAUGGAUGACGAACUUCUGCGAAAGCAUUUGCCAAGGACGUUCUCAUUAAUCAAGAACGAAAGUUGGGGGAUCGAAGACGAUCAGAUACCGUCCUAGUCUCAACCAUAAACGAUGCCGACUAGGGAUUGGCGGAUGUCUAUUGGAUGACUCUGCCAGCACCUUGUGAGAAAUCAAAGUUUACGGGUUCCGGGGGGAGUAUGGUCGCAAGGCUGAAACUUAAAGGAAUUGACGGAAGGGCACCACCAGGCGUGGAGCCUGCGGCUUAAUUUGACUCAACACGGGGAAACUCACCAGGUCCAGACAUAGCAAGGAUUGACAGAUUGAGAGCUCUUUCUUGAUUCUAUGGGUGGUG